GGAGAGAAGAGACUGGACUGGGAUAAGGCAGCAGGGGUAGAAACAGCAAAGAAUGAGAGGACUGACCAGAAAGCCACCCAACACAGGCCAUAUAAUGGUGUCCCAAAGAUGGUGUCCCAGAAAUGGCACGCGUCUUGGACAAAGACUGUGGUCCUACACCUUCUCGUCCUACCUGUACUGCCAUCCAGAGCCUCCGUGAAGCCACAAGGUCACCGGGUCCAAUAACUGCACCUUGAAAUCUACAUCUGUCAGCGGACAGGUUCCGAUCCUUCACGUGCCACCUGUUUCUGGCGCAUCCAGAAUGGAAGGAAGAAAGACAGAAUGAAAGACGGGGAGACAAGGAGGGCAAUGCCGGGGCACGAGACGCUCUCGCAGUUUUUAGUAGGUAAUUCAGCCCUGAAUUUUACCAACAGCUCUCUUAUUCCUCCCACUCUCCCUCUGCCUUCCCUUCUCUAAGGCGACAGUGAGGUUCUGGGGGAUUCUUCAAGGGAAUUAGUAAGAGCUGCUAUAAGGAGAUGCAUUUAUUAAGUGCCUGGCUCUAUUCGUGGCAGUCAGUAAAACAGAUCCCUAUCUCUGUGAAGCUUACAUCCUGGUGGCAGGGGGCGAGAGUAAACAAUGUAUGAGCACAUGAAAAUGGUACAAUAUAAAGAUACACGUUCUAUGGAAUAAAGAAAAAGUGGGGCAGGGGCAGGAGAUUUCAGAGUGCCGGGGAGAAGGUGAGGUACGCUGCAGUAAUAAGAUCGGGAUAAGCCUCACUGAAAAUGUGAGGUUUUGAGGGCAGUCUAGAAUGGAGAGAGAGCUAGCCACACGGACAAUGGGAAAGAGCUUUCCCCGAAGAGCCUGAGCAAACCCCCCGAGGUGGGAGUGUGGCUGGAGUGUGCAGCGACAGAAUGAAGUCCUGGUGGCAGAGGCAGAGGAGGCGGGGGAGGGUGAGAAAAGAGCUCCUGUACUGCACGGCCUGAGGCUGCUGGGAGGAUUUGACUCGCAGUACGGCGGGGUGCCAUUAUGCGACUUCAAGCAGAGGCAUGACAGGGCAGGCCAAUCUAGCUGCUGCACGGUGAACUGUGGACGUUUCAGGUCAAAGUGGGGAGAUCCUUGAGGAGACCAUCACAGUAGCAGUGGAGAUGGGGCGGAAGAGGUUGGAUUCUGGCUGUUUGGACGGCAGAGCCAACCAGGCUGCCAGGGUGGGUAAGAAGGUGAGAAAGAGAGAAAUGUCAAUAACAACUUCAAGAUUUUUCAUCUGAGCAAAUGCUAAGAUAGUGUUGUGGACAAAGGUGUUUGGGGUUGGGGAAGAGCAGUUCAGUUUGAGAGAUCUCUUAGACCUCCUAGUGGAGAUGUUGAGUAGGCCAUCAGAUAAAUGAGUUAGAGAUGAGAGGCCCCAACCUUAUUGCCCCACGGUCUUCUUGUCCCUCCACUAAACUCCCCGGCUCUAGGGGGCCGGAGAGAUCUGGGAAUUCAAAGGCCCUAACAUAAGACCCAUUUUAAGCCACAUAACCAAGAGGCCAGUCUGAGUGAACCACAAAGCUCCUCAUAAUCAAAUCACUUUGUGGCCAAAACUCUGGCACUUUCUCCCCAGAUGGGGAGAAGCAAUCCUCCAACUGUUUGGAAACCAGUUUUUUACUUUCAAUCCAUUGCAGACUGAUACUUUUUAAAAUACAAAGUCAAAUGGCUGGCUGUCAUGGUAAUAUCAAAGUGCUAAUAAAGUUUUGCAACACUUACUCUCAAUUUCUGUACUUUGUUUGAACAGGUAAGAAACUGUUCAUGGACUGACACUGGUCCAUACCUUAAGUGGCACUAGUCCAGAGAACUGUUAUCAGGUGCGUAAUCCCAUAGUUCGUAAACCCUGCAACGGCCAUUCUUUGAGCGAACAUUUCUAGCAGGUUCCAGAUGAGCAUCUUGACUUCCUUUGAUUUCUCUGACCCCUUAGAGUAGGGGAAAUUUAGACAGCUCUACUUGAAUCUUCCACCAGGAAAGAGGGUGAGGCCAAGUUUGGGUUAGAAUGGAGACAAACAUGAUGACAUUUGAGUACCCAUGAUGACAGGCCCUGUCAUAUUUCCAUGGGGCCACACAGUGCAGUGUUGGGGGAGGAGAGGACAAAAGUUGUAGCCCAUAGUCUCCUCGGCAAAAUUCCUGAGUUUCAGAACAGCAUUGAGCUUUUCAGAGGUAAGAGAGAUUCACAGGCUUGACAUCCCUGUGAGGAAUGCUAUUUGAGUGCAGGCACUGGAUAUCCUC
Molecule: long non-coding RNA, 2232 nt
Filed under: Zalophus californianus (California sea lion)
Lineage: Eukaryota; Metazoa; Chordata; Mammalia; Carnivora; Otariidae
Description: lncRNA (ENSZCAG00015024571.1)
Source: RNAcentral